CACAUGCAAGUCUCAGCACCCCAGUGAAAAUGCCCACUGAAUCCCAAACAGGCCGCCGGAGCAGGUAUCAGGCUCAACCAACACUAGCCCAGCACGCCUUGCUAUGCCACACCCCCACGGGUACUCAGCAGUGAUUAACUUUAACCAUAAGCGAAAGCUUGACUUAGCUAUGAUUAACAAAAGUCGGUAAAUUUCGUGCCAGCCACCGCGGUUACACGAAAGACUUAAUACAAUGACAGUCGGCGUAAAGCGUGACUAUAGUAAUUAUCAAAACUUUAAAGAUAAGCCACUACAAAGCCGUAAAACGCCACUAUAAGUGACAAACCCCUCAGAGUCUUU
RNAcentral lists this ribosomal RNA (339 nucleotides) under Chalcides montanus. RNAcentral's name for it is "partial 12S ribosomal RNA". Lineage: Eukaryota; Metazoa; Chordata; Lepidosauria; Squamata; Scincidae. The record is from RNAcentral.